RNAcentral lists this ribosomal RNA (954 nucleotides) under Enterobacter sp. R1(2018). Its description in RNAcentral is "bacterial LSU rRNA". It matches the Rfam family "Bacterial large subunit ribosomal RNA", at positions 561 to 1520 of the family's 2925-position model. Lineage: Bacteria; Pseudomonadati; Pseudomonadota; Gammaproteobacteria; Enterobacterales; Enterobacteriaceae. The record is from RNAcentral.
UACGUACAAGCAGUGGGAGCCUCUUUUAUGGGUUGACUGCGUACCUUUUGUAUAAUGGGUCAGCGACUUAUAUUCUGUAGCAAGGUUAACCGUAUAGGGGAGCCGCAGGGAAACCGAGUCUUAACUGGGCGUUAAGUUGCAGGGUAUAGACCCGAAACCCGGUGAUCUAGCCAUGGGCAGGUUGAAGGUUGGGUAACACUAACUGGAGGACCGAACCGACUAAUGUUGAAAAAUUAGCGGAUGACCUGUGGCUGGGGGUGAAAGGCCAAUCAAACCGGGAGAUAGCUGGUUCUCCCCGAAAGCUAUUUAGGUAGCGCCUCGUGAAUUCAUCUCCGGGGGUAGAGCACUGUUUCGGCUAGGGGGCCAUCCCGGCUUACCAACCCGAUGCAAACUGCGAAUACCGGAGAAUGUUAUCACGGGAGACACACGGCGGGUGCUAACGUCCGUCGUGAAGAGGGAAACAACCCAGACCGCCAGCUAAGGUCCCAAAGUCAUGGUUAAGUGGGAAACGAUGUGGGAAGGCACAGACAGCCAGGAUGUUGGCUUAGAAGCAGCCAUCAUUUAAAGAAAGCGUAAUAGCUCACUGGUCGAGUCGGCCUGCGCGGAAGAUGUAACGGGGCUAAACCAUGCACCGAAGCUGCGGCAGCGACACUAUGUGUUGUUGGGUAGGGGAGCGUUCUGUAAGCCGUCGAAGGUGGACUGUGAGGUCUGCUGGAGGUAUCAGAAGUGCGAAUGCUGACAUAAGUAACGAUAAAGCGGGUGAAAAGCCCGCUCGCCGGAAGACCAAGGGUUCCUGUCCAACGUUAAUCGGGGCAGGGUGAGUCGACCCCUAAGGCGAGGCCGAAAGGCGUAGUCGAUGGGAAACAGGUUAAUAUUCCUGUACUCGGUGUUACUGCGAAGGGGGGACGGAGAAGGCUAUGUCGGCCGGGCGACGGUUGUCCCGGUUUAAGCGUG